AGGACGAGCGGAGCUGAGCGGACCCUGAGGCGCCUGCGGAGGACGAGCGGAGCUGAGCGGACCGUGAGGCGACUGCGGAGGACGAGUGGAGCUGAGCGAGGACGAGCGGCCUCCGGCCAGAGCUGGGCGGGUGCACUGUCAGGUGCCGGUGGCUUUUCUCAGGAGGAAGCGCCUGGAGGACGCGGGCUCUGGGCGGUCAGCUUGUCUGUGGAGAAGGCAGGACGCGGGCCCUGAGCGGACCAUGAGGCGACUGCGGAGGAUGAGCUGAACUAAGCAGAGGACGAGCGGUUUCCGGCCAGGCAUUUUAAGAAGAAAACAUGCAGAGUCUCAGGAUAAAAUGGGGAGAGCCUGGAAGCUUGGAAUCGCGAAUAUAGGUUCAUGGUGUAUAGACCAAUGUGGGAUGGUCUGGACGGAUCGGAUCCCAUCAGCACUUGCUCUUGCCGCUGGCAUUUCUCCAAGUCUGCAUCAAGUUUUCAUCUAUACUUUCAUGUCUACACUUGGGCCUGGAGAAGGAGGUGAAGCCUCUCCCUUCCUGCUUGUUGAUGUUGUACAGAAGAGCCACACGCCGGUAGCUCACCCCUGAUAUCCUAGCUACUCAGGAGGCUGAGAUCUGAGGAUCGUGGUUCAAAGCCAGCCUGUGUAGGAAAA
Dipodomys spectabilis (banner-tailed kangaroo rat) is the source of this 648-nucleotide long non-coding RNA. RefSeq lists it as uncharacterized. NCBI's taxonomy places the organism in Eukaryota, Metazoa, Chordata, Mammalia, Rodentia, Heteromyidae. The transcript is spliced from 4 exons. The record is from RefSeq and is a predicted model, not a curated record.